Molecule: ribosomal RNA, 454 nt
Filed under: uncultured bacterium
Lineage: Bacteria
Description: partial 16S ribosomal RNA
Rfam family: Bacterial small subunit ribosomal RNA
Source: RNAcentral
GGGGGGGGGGGGGGGGGGGGGGGGGGGGGGGGGGGGGGGGGGGGGGGGGGGGUGGGGGGCGGGCGGGGGAGUGACGCGGAAAGAACUUGCCUCACAGAUAGGGACAACAUUUGGAAACGAAUGCUAAUACCGGAUAUUAUGAUUAUAUGGCAUCGUAUAAUUAUGAAAGCUAUAUGCGCUGUGAGAGAGCUUCGCGUCCCAUUAGCUAGUUGGAGAGGUAACGGCUCACCAAGGCGAUGAUGGGUAGCCGGCCUGAGAGGGUGAUCGGCCACAAGGGGACUGAGACACGGCCCUUACUCCUACGGGAGGCAGCAGUGGGGAAUAUUGGACAAUGGACCAAGAGUCCGAUCCAGCAAUUCUGUGUGCACGAUGAAGUUUUUCGGAAUGUAAAGUGCUUUCAGUUGGGAAGAAAAAAAUGACGGUACCAACAGAAGAAGUGACGGCUAAAUACGUG